GUGGGUAACCUGCCUCACACAGGGGGAUAACAGUUGGAAACGGCUGCUAAUACCGCAUAAGCGCACAGUACCGCAUGGUACGGUGUGAAAAACUCCGGUGGUGUGAGAUGGACCCGCGUCUGAUUAGCUAGUUGGCAGGGCAACGGCCUACCAAGGCGACGAUCAGUAGCCGACCUGAGAGGGUGACCGGCCACAUUGGGACUGAGACACGGCCCAAACUCCUACGGGAGGCAGCAGUGGGGAAUAUUGCACAAUGGGGGAAACCCUGAUGCAGCGACGCCGCGUGAGCGAAGAAGUAUUUCGGUAUGUAAAGCUCUAUCAGCAGGGAAGAAGAAAUGACGGUACCUGACUAAGAAGCACCGGCUAAAUACGUGCCAGCAGCCGCGGUAAUACGUAUGGUGCAAGCGUUAUCCGGAUUUACUGGGUGCAAAGGGAGCGCAGGCGGAAGGCUAAGUCUGAUGUGAAAGCCCGGGGCUCAACCCCGGUACUGCAUUGGAAACUGGUCAUCUAGAGUGUCGGGGGGGUAAGUGGAAUUCCUAGUGUAGCGGUGAAAUGCGUAGAUAUUAGGAGGAACACCAGUGGCGAAGGCGGCUUACUGGACGAUAACUGACGCUGAGGCUCGAA
This 624-nucleotide ribosomal RNA is filed under the name uncultured bacterium. Its description in RNAcentral is "bacterial SSU rRNA". It matches the Rfam family "Bacterial small subunit ribosomal RNA", at positions 117 to 757 of the family's 1533-position model. The record is from RNAcentral.